UUUUAAUUAUCAUGCCCUCCAGAAAGCAAGCUCUUCUGAAGUCAGCAGUAUGGCACUCACCUGAGGGAAAGAGGUCAAGCUUAAAGGGCAUCAUUCAUUCUGACCUCAUGAUGGUGAAGAACAAACAUUAAACCACCUGAGUGGAGGACUCCUCAGAAUGAGCUGACUCUGUCUGACAGAGAGGAAACAGUCGUGGAUCCACAGCAUGAUACAUCCUUCAGGACAUUUCAAAUACAUCUUCAUCUUGGUUUUGAAGAGCACCAGAAGAAAUUCUCAUGGAGAAAUUGGAGCCAGUUUCCAGCUAGUUUGGUCUUUAUGAGGUUUGCAGCACUCAAACCACUGGAGCCGCCCUGGACUUGAGGCAGCCCUUGUCGCCUGGAUCUUCACCCGGAUGGCAGGUUUCUUGGAGAUCAUGGCCAACCAGCUGUGAGAUCACAUCCUCCUUUGUGGUGUCACCUGUCAGAAAUUAACAUCUGUGGGGCUGGAGAGAUGGCUCAACGGUUAAGAGCAUUGGUUAUUCUUGCAGAAGACCGGGGUUCAAAUCCCAGC
Long non-coding RNA from Nannospalax galili (Upper Galilee mountains blind mole rat), 549 nucleotides. RefSeq lists it as uncharacterized. The transcript has 3 exons. The record is from RefSeq and is a predicted model, not a curated record. Lineage: Eukaryota; Metazoa; Chordata; Mammalia; Rodentia; Spalacidae.